GCCGAGGUGGCGAAAUGGUAGACGCACUACCUUGAGGUGGUAGCGAGUAACAUCAUGCAGGUUCAAGUCCUGUCCUCGGUA
This 81-nucleotide transfer RNA is filed under the name bacterium. Its description in RNAcentral is "tRNA-Leu". It matches the Rfam family "tRNA". Rfam says of the family: Transfer RNA (tRNA) molecules are approximately 80 nucleotides in length. The record is from RNAcentral.